RNAcentral lists this microRNA (20 nucleotides) under Ciona intestinalis (vase tunicate). Its description in RNAcentral is "cin-miR-4176-5p". Lineage: Eukaryota; Metazoa; Chordata; Ascidiacea; Phlebobranchia; Cionidae. The record is from miRBase by way of RNAcentral.
UCCAGAAAUUUCUUUUAAGU